This 438-nucleotide ribosomal RNA is filed under the name uncultured bacterium. RNAcentral's name for it is "bacterial SSU rRNA". It matches the Rfam family "Bacterial small subunit ribosomal RNA", at positions 339 to 793 of the family's 1533-position model. The record is from RNAcentral.
GUACGGGAGGCAGCAGUGGGGAAUAUUGCAUAAUGGGCGAAAGCCUGAUGCAGCAACGCCGCGUGUGCGAUGAAGGCCUUCGGGUCGUAAAGCACUUUUUGAGGGGAUGAGGAAGGACAGUACCCUCAGAAUAAGCCUCGGCUAACUACGUGCCAGCAGCCGCGGUAAAACGUAGGAGGCGAGCGUUAUCCGGAUUUACUGGGUGUAAAGCGCGUGCAGGCGGGUUGAUAAGUUGGAUGUGAAAGCUCCCGGCUUAACUGGGAGAGGUCGUUCAAGACUGUCAGCCUUGAGUACAGUAGAGGAAAGUGGAAUUCCGGGUGUAGUGGUGAAAUGCGUAGAUAUCCGGAGGAACACCAGUGGCGAAAGCGGCUUUCUGGACUGUAACUGACGCUCAGACGCGAAAGCUAGGGUAGCAAACGGGAUUAGAUACCCUGGUAG